UAUGUCUAGCCCAACUAGGGUUAACCUAGGUGAGUGCUGGAAUUCAUUAUCGAUCAUCCGUUCUAGAUCAAUCUUCUACUCUGUAAAAGGAGUUGGAAAUCAAUUGAAUAUCUAGAUCUUUUACUUUGAACAAAUUAGAGUGUUUCAAGCAGGCGUUGUUUGCGUUGAAUACAUUAGCAUGGAAUAAUCGAAUAGGACUUUGGUUCUACUUUUCGUUGGUUUCAAGAACUAAAGUAAUGAUUGAUAGGGAUAGUUGGGGGUGCUAGUAUUCAGUGGCCAGAGGUGAAAUUCUUGGAUUCACUGAAGACUAACUAAUGCGAAAGCAUU
RNAcentral lists this ribosomal RNA (327 nucleotides) under uncultured Allapsidae. Its description in RNAcentral is "SSU rRNA". It matches the Rfam family "Eukaryotic small subunit ribosomal RNA", at positions 631 to 955 of the family's 1831-position model. The record is from RNAcentral. Lineage: Eukaryota; Cercozoa; Glissomonadida; Viridiraptoridae.